UAUGAAUGAUUUUUUUUCUUAGUUUGGGUGCUAGGUACUGAUAGAGUUGGUGUAUCCAUAGAUAGCAUACACUUGCGCAUUUUGUUGAGUUCUUCUGUUGCGAAUGAGAACAACCAUCAUGGACCUCCUCUGUUUUCAAGCAGCUUGCUUCUCCAUGUAUGAUUUAUGCAGCAUAUACAUCUUGCUCCUCUUUUAUCAGUAGCAAUGGAAGUUGAUGAAAUUUAAGUGUCGUGUUGUUCUAGAGAUGCAGGGAGGGAGGGACUUCCAUGGAUUGGACUGCAAGGAUUGGAUGUAAACCAAUGCACAUGAGGAGGAGAGAUGCAAGCUAGGUCAUGACCUAAAGAUGUCCUUGGAGAAGAUGGCCAUUGGAGUGUAGGGGAGAAACAACCUUGUCCUGCUCGAGGAGGAGGAGGAGGACCACCCGAGCUCGACGACGACAUGGCAACAGCCUUGUCUCCCCCACCACCGCCCCUCGGCCUCCUAUAAUGUUGUUGUGGAUUCUUAGAAUGGAAAUGUUAUGUACAUAAAAAAUAUACUAUGGUCUGUGUUUGCAAAUCCAUGGCUGUUGAAUCAUGUAUGUAUAAGCAUUUGUAAAUAGCUAGCCUUGUUGGCUAAUCUUUUUUUUUUGGUUCUGGUCA
Triticum urartu is the source of this 638-nucleotide non-coding RNA. NCBI's taxonomy places the organism in Eukaryota, Viridiplantae, Streptophyta, Magnoliopsida, Poales, Poaceae. The record is from RefSeq and is a predicted model, not a curated record.